UACGGAAGGCAGCAGUGGGGAAUAUUGCACAAUGGGCGCAAGCCUGAUGCAGCCAUGCCGCGUGUAUGAAGAAGGCCUUCGGGUUGUAAAGUACUUUUCAGUCGUGAGGAAGGUGUUAAGGUUAAUAACCUUAGCAAUUGACGUUAGCGACAGAAGAAGCACCGGCUAACUCCGUGCCAGCAGCCGCGGUAAUACGGAGGGUGCGAGCGUUAAUCGGAAUUACUGGGCGUAAAGGGCACGCAGGCGGUUAAUUAAGUUGGAUGUGAAAUCCCCGGGCUUAACCUGGGAAUGGCAUUCAAGACUGGUUAGCUAGAGUCUUGUAGAGGGGGUAGAAUUCCAUGUGUAGCGGUGAAAUGCGUAGAGAUGUGGAGGAAUACCGGUGGCGAAGGCGGCCCCUGGACAAAGGACUGACGCUCAUGUGCGAAAAGCGUGGGGAGCAAACAGGGAUUAGAUACC
This 456-nucleotide ribosomal RNA is filed under the name uncultured bacterium. Its description in RNAcentral is "bacterial SSU rRNA". It matches the Rfam family "Bacterial small subunit ribosomal RNA", at positions 340 to 786 of the family's 1533-position model. The record is from RNAcentral.